RNAcentral lists this ribosomal RNA (497 nucleotides) under uncultured bacterium. RNAcentral's name for it is "partial 16S ribosomal RNA". It matches the Rfam family "Bacterial small subunit ribosomal RNA", at positions 28 to 507 of the family's 1533-position model. The record is from RNAcentral.
GAUGAACGCUGGCGGCGUGCCUAAUACAUGCAAGUCGAGCGAACGGACGAGAAGCUUGCUUCUCUGAUGUUAGCGGCGGACGGGUGAGUAACACGUGGAUAACCUACCUAUAAGACUGGGAUAACUUCGGGAAACCGGAGCUAAUACCGGAUGAUAUUUUGAACCGCAUGGUUCAAGAGUGAAAGACGGUCUUGCUGUCACUUAUAGAUGGAUCCGCGCUGCAUUAGCUAGUUGGUAAGGUAACGGCUUACCAAGGCAACGAUGCAUAGACGACCUGAGAGGGUGAUCGGCCACACUGGAACUGAGACACGGUCCAGACUCCUACGGGAGGCAGCAGUAGGGAAUCUUCCGCAAUGGGCGAAAGCCUGACGGAGCAACGCCGCGUGAGUGAUGAAGGUCUUCGGAUCGUAAAACUCUGUUAUUAGGGAAGAACAUAUGUGUAAGUAACUGUGCACAUCUUGACGGUACCUAAUCAGAAAGCCACGGCUAACUACGUG